UCAAAACAGCGGCCUUCGGGCCUCGCUGCACCCUUGUCUUUUGCGCACCGUAUUGUUUCCUCGGCGGGCUUGCCUGCCGGUUGGACAUCAUAAAACCUUUUUGUAGUUGCAAUCAGCGUCAGAAAAGCAAUAAUUAUUA
RNAcentral lists this unclassified non-coding RNA (139 nucleotides) under soil metagenome. RNAcentral describes it as "partial internal transcribed spacer 1". The record is from RNAcentral.